Molecule: long non-coding RNA, 970 nt
Filed under: Anas zonorhyncha (Eastern spot-billed duck)
Lineage: Eukaryota; Metazoa; Chordata; Aves; Anseriformes; Anatidae
Description: lncRNA (ENSAZOG00000000850.1)
Source: RNAcentral
GGGUUACAUGAAGAAAAACAGUAUGGUAUGAAAUAAUAGUAUAUAGUACACCAGGGUGUGUAAGCUUUGUAUUGUCCAGAGUAUUAUCACUAUUUUAACCCCAUUUUAGACCUUUUAUUUGAAAUAGUUUGCCAAAUUCUUUUAUUUCUGCAGUCCCUCUCCAGAACUGCUGGAUGCCAAGCAAGUACAAAUAUCACAUGUUAAGCUGUUGUUCUUAUCUGUCACUGCUAUAACCAAUAAAAAGGUCAAAUUGCUGCAGAAGUCACCCAACACUUCCUUCUGUUACAGCUUUCCAAAUAGUUGGUUUAAAAGAGAAACAAUGUAGAGAUGAAUGAAGCACACUUCAAGGAAAGAUAAAGAGAUUGGAGAUGCAGAAAAUUUGAACACUUGUUUUCACAGAAAAUAUGUCUGGAACGUUUAUUUGAAGCUUUUCUACAAAAGCCUCAUCUGUAGAAAAAGGAGAUUAAUUUAAUUUUUAGGUGAAAAUAAGGCUAUAGUUUGUAACAAGGACAGCACGGUUGCUCUUGGUAUUUGGCACAAAAACCUCACCCACAGAACCCUGUCUGAAAGGAACUCCAGUUAUUUAUUGCUCUUUAUUGCCUUCCCACUUUCUUCAUUGCUGGCCUUCACUCAGACCUCCUGUAAACAUACAGGCAUACCACUGGACUUGUGGAUAUUGUAUUAGAACAACCCUAUGAUCUCCUCUGAUUCCAUCACAGUACGUCAUCUAAAAAGCUAUAAAGCAAGUGAUGUUUACAAGGCUACAAAAUAAAGUGGCCAUGGACAAACCCUUGCAUCUCUUCUCUCUUCAUAAAGCAUUCAGUUAAAUUCUGCCACCAAUUCUGUCAGAACCUCCGCACUGUCUUGGUUUGAUAUGCAUGAAGAACAACUGAAAAAUGAGAGUAGAAAUUCUAAAAAUACAAAGUAAAUUGAAGAAUAGUAGAAAGUAGAAAGGAAAUAGAGAAAUGAU